Molecule: ribosomal RNA, 500 nt
Filed under: uncultured bacterium
Lineage: Bacteria
Description: partial 16S ribosomal RNA
Rfam family: Bacterial small subunit ribosomal RNA
Source: RNAcentral
AUUGAACGCUGGCGGAAUGCUUUACACAUGCAAGUCGAACGAUGAACCUUAGCUUGCUAAGGGGAUUAGUGGCGAACGGGUGGGUAAUGUAUCGGAACGUAUCCAAUAAUGGGGGAUAACUAGUCGAAAGAUUAGCUAAUACCGCAUACGUCCUACGGGAGAAAGCUAGGGACCUUCGGGCCUGGCGUUAAUGGAGCGGCCGAUAUCUGAUUAGCUAGUUGGUGGGGUAAAGGCUCACCAAGGCGACGAUCAGUAGCUGGUCUGAGAGGACGACCAGCCACACUGGAACUGAGACACGGUCCAGACUCCUACGGGAGGCAGCAGUGGGGAAUUUUGGACAAUGGGCGAAAGCCUGAUCCAGCCAUUCCGCGUGAGUGAAGAAGGCCUUCGGGUUGUAAAGCUCUUUCGCAAGGGAAGAAAACUUAAGCUCUAACAUAGCUUGUGGUUGACGGUACCUUGAUAAGAAGCACCGGCUAACUACGUGCCAGCAGCCGCCGUAA